Molecule: ribosomal RNA, 717 nt
Filed under: uncultured bacterium
Lineage: Bacteria
Description: bacterial SSU rRNA
Rfam family: Bacterial small subunit ribosomal RNA
Source: RNAcentral
GUUUGAUCCUGGCUCAGGAUGAACGCUAGCUACAGGCUUAACACAUGCAAGUCGAGGGGAAACGAUAUUGAAAGCUUGCUUUCGAUAGGCGUCGACCGGCGCACGGGUGAGUAACGCGUAUCCAACCUGCCCAUAACUAAGGGAUAAUCCGUAGAAAUGCGGUCUAAUACCUUAUGUGAUCCGAGGAAGACAUCUGAUUUGGAUUAAAGAUUUAUCGGUUAUGGAUGGGGAUGCGUCUGAUUAGAUUGUUGGCGGGGCAACGGCCCACCAAGUCUGCGAUCAGUAGGGGUUCUGAGAGGAAGGUCCCCCACAUUGGAACUGAGACACGGUCCAAACUCCUACGGGAGGCAGCAGUGAGGAAUAUUGGUCAAUGGGCGGGAGCCUGAACCAGCCAAGUAGCGUGCAGGAUGACGGCCCUAUGGGUUGUAAACUGCUUUUGUAUGGGGAUAAAUUGCUCCACGUGUGGAGUAUUGCAGGUACCAUACGAAUAAGGACCGGCUAAUUCCGUGCCAGCAGCCGCGGUAAUACGGAAGGUCCGGGCGUUAUCCGGAUUUAUUGGGUUUAAAGGGAGCGUAGGCCGUGGAUUAAGUGUGUUGUGAAAUGUAGGCGCUCAACGUCUGACUUGCAGCGCAUACUGGNCCACUAGAGUGCGCGCAACGCGGGCGGAAUUUGUCGUGUAGCGGUGAAAUGCUUAGAUAUGACGAAGAACCCCGAUUG